Molecule: non-coding RNA, 95 nt
Organism: Mycena epipterygia
Lineage: Eukaryota; Fungi; Basidiomycota; Agaricomycetes; Agaricales; Mycenaceae
Source: the annotation of a GenBank genome assembly
GCCUUCGAGGAUCAGUGGCGAUCGUCCCGCUUCUGUUAGGUCACACCGAGGACACAAUGCAACGGGAAGGCGGGGUUCGACUCCCCGCGAAGGCA